UUACCUGGCCUUGACAUACUAAGAACUUUCCAGAGACGGAUUGGUGCCUUCGGGAACUUAGAUACAGGUGCUGCAUGGCUGUCGUCAGCUCGUGUCGUGAGAUGUUGGGUUAAGUCCGCAACGAGCGCAACCCUUUUCCUUAUUGCCAGCGGGUAAUGCCGGGAACUUUAAGGAUACUGCCAGUGACAAACUGGAGGAAGGCGGGGACGACGUCAAGUCAUCAUGGCCCUUACGGCCAGGGCUACACACGUGCUACAAUGGUCGGUACAAAGGGUUGCUACCUCGCGAGAGGAUGCUAAUCUCAAAAAGCCGAUCGUAGUCCGGAUCGCAGUCUGCAACUCGACUGCGUGAAGUCGGAAUCGCUAGUAAUCGCGGAUCAGAAUGCCGCGGUGAAUACGUUCCCGGGCCUUGUACACACCGCCCGUCACACCAUGGGAGUUUGUUGCACCAGAAGUAGGUAGUCUAACCGCAAGGAGGACGCUUACCACGGUGUGGCCGAUGACUGGGGUGAAGUCGUAACAAGGUAAGCGUAGAUGA
Molecule: ribosomal RNA, 537 nt
Filed under: uncultured bacterium
Lineage: Bacteria
Description: bacterial SSU rRNA
Rfam family: Bacterial small subunit ribosomal RNA
Source: RNAcentral